RNAcentral lists this ribosomal RNA (1334 nucleotides) under metagenome. Its description in RNAcentral is "bacterial LSU rRNA". It matches the Rfam family "Bacterial large subunit ribosomal RNA", at positions 1272 to 2619 of the family's 2925-position model. The record is from RNAcentral.
UCUCACUUUGCUCUCGCUACUCAUGCCGGCAUGAGUAGCGAGAGCAAAGUGAGAAUCUUUGCCGUCGAAAGCCUAAGGUUUCCUGAGGAAGGCUCGUCCUCUCAGGGUAAGUCGGGACCUAAGCCGAGGACAACAGUCGUAGGCGAUGGAUAACAGGUUGAUAUUCCUGUACCGUACUUAAGCGUUUGACUGAAGCAGUGACACAGAAGGAUAGACAGACCGAGUGAAUGGAAGAACUCGGCCAAGCAGUGAGGCUGACAUGUAGUGAAGUACGCAUGUUAAGGCUGGGCUGUGAUGGGGACUGAAGAUUAGUAGGGAAGCUGUUGAAUUCACACUGGCGAGAAAAGCUGCUAAGGAGCGAGAGUAUGCCCGUACCGCAAACCGACACAGGUAGGCGAGGAGAGAAUCCUAAGACGAGCGGGAGAACCCUUGUUAAGGAACUCGGCAAAAUGACUCCGUAACUUAGGGAGAAGGAGUGCCUCGAGAGAGGCCGCAGAGAAUAGGCCCAAGCGACUGUUUACCAAAAACACAGGUCUGUGCGAAGUAGAGAUACGACGUAUACGGGCUGACGCCUGCCCAGUGCCGGAAGGUUAAGGGGAAGUGUUAGGGCAACCGAAGCACGGAACUUAAGCCCCGGUGAACGGCGGCCGUAACUAUAACGGUCCUAAGGUAGCGAAAUUCCUUGUCGGGUAAGUUCCGACCCGCACGAAUGGCGUAACGACUUGGGCACUGUCUCAACAAGGGACCCGGCGAAAUUGUAGUAUGUGUGAAGAUGCACAUUACCCGCGAUAGGACGGAGAGACCCCGUAGAGCUUUACUGUAGUUUAACAUUGGAUUUUGAUAACACAUGUACAGGAUAGGUGGGAGGCUGAGAAACCGGCACGCCAGUGCCGAUGGAGCCGCUGUUGGGAUACCACUCUUGUGUUAUUGGAGUUCUAACGAAGUGCCGUAAACCGGGCUUCGGACAGUGUUAGAUGGGCAGUUUGACUGGGGCGGUCGCCUCCGAAAGAGUAACGGAGGCGUCCAAAGGUUCCCUCAGAAUGGUUGGAAACCAUUCACAGAGUGCAAAGGCAGAAGGGAGCUUGACUGCGAGACCGACAGGUCGAGCAGGUACGAAAGUAGGGCUUAGUGAUCCGGCGGUAUGAGAGUGGAAUUGCCGUCGCUCAACGGAUAAAAGCUACCUCGGGGAUAACAGGCUGAUCUCCCCCAAGAGUUCACAUCGACGGGGAGGUUUGGCACCUCGAUGUCGGCUCAUCGCAUCCUGGAGCGGAAGUACGUUCCAAGGGUUGGGCUGUUCGCCCAUUAAAGCGGUACGCGAGCUGGGUUCAGAACGU